UACGUAGGGAGCAAGCGUUGUCCGGAAUCAUUGGGCGUAAAGCGCGCGUAGGCGGCCCGAUAAGUCCGUUGUGAAAGUCAAAGGCUCAACCUUUGAAUGCCGAUGGAUACUGUCGGGCUAGAGUCCGGAAGAGGCGAGUGGAAUUCUUGGUGUAGCGGUGGAAUGCGCAGAUAUCAGGAGGAACACCAAUAGCGAAGGCAGCUCGCUGGGACGGUACUGACGCUAAGGCGCGAAAGCGUGGGGAGCGAACAGG
Molecule: ribosomal RNA, 253 nt
Filed under: uncultured bacterium
Lineage: Bacteria
Description: partial 16S ribosomal RNA
Rfam family: Bacterial small subunit ribosomal RNA
Source: RNAcentral